Nilaparvata lugens (brown planthopper) is the source of this 1240-nucleotide long non-coding RNA. RefSeq lists it as uncharacterized. The record is from RefSeq and is a predicted model, not a curated record. The transcript is spliced from 3 exons. Lineage: Eukaryota; Metazoa; Arthropoda; Insecta; Hemiptera; Delphacidae.
UUUGCUAGUAGAGAGUGGAUUUUCUGUGCUUUUUUUUGUAAUAUUUAAAUAAAUUAAUAACUAACUUUCUUCGUGUGAAUUAAACUACAACCCAAUACGAAGCUAAAUUUACUUCAAUUUUGGCAGCUAAUUAUAGGAACACCCUGGUGAUUGAGAUGAAGAACUUCAAGGCGAUGAGAGUGGACAGCAUAGGCAAAGAUUUGGACAGUGGACAAAACGGACUUCGCAGCCACAGAACAACAUGAGUCACUUCUCUUCUGCUUCUGCUACAACGUCAUCUUCUUCUUCUGCUACUACUGAUACUGUUGCUGCGGCUACUGUUACUGAUACUGCGGCUACUGUUACUGUUACUGCUGCUACUGUUACUGUUACUGCUUCUACUGAUACUGCUGCUUCUUCUUUGCUGAGAAAUCAACACUUUUGGACGUUUGUAGCUGAUUGCUGACCAAGGUGUUACAUCUGUGAGUUCACUUAGAUUAUGAUUAUUAUCUUUCUCUCCUCCUUUUCCUUCUUCUUCUUUUCCUUACUAACAAAUUUUGUAUUGAUAUAGGGUGAUUGUUUAUUGCAUUGUUAUUGCCAAUAUUAGAUUCAUUCAGUAGACUAUAAUAUGAAAUCUUUUACAUGACAUUCAAAAAUUUGGAGGAUUCAAAGCAAGAAUUUUUCUCUUUUAUUCAUGAAAUGGAGGUGCAUAGAAAUUUAGUAAUAGAAGAACGUCGGUGGAUUUAUGCAGAGCUUGAGGUACGUUUAGACUUGUAUACAAAAUUGUAGAUUUAUUUGUAUGAGAUUCAAGGGUGAUUAGAAUCGAAUAUAUUGCAGCUCAUAGAAAAUGAUUGAAUAAGGAAUUUAUCAUACUUGUGAUUUUGACAUGUAUCUCAUGCAAAUCUAUUUUAUAUUUGUAUACAAGACCUGACGUACCUUGAAAUGUAUAAUUGGAGGACGGGAGCUGUGCAUGUAUACUAAGGUAGGUGAUCACCUCAUCGUGGAACACAUGCCGCCGAUUAUGCAGAUCUCCGAAUCACCGCCACCUGUCUAUUUAUCUAUUAUUCAUUUACAAUAUUACAACUGAACAGUCUACAACUAUUGGACCAGAGAUCUAUAGACAUUAGACAAAGUUUUAUGAUACAGAAACAAUAGCGUAAGUAGAUAUCCCAUAGUAUAGGGCGUUUAUGUCGCAACUUUUACUGUUAUCUCAAGCCGAUUAUUGUCAAUUUUUACUGUUUUGACCGGGUAAGAGUGUAUG